This 1533-nucleotide ribosomal RNA is filed under the name Campylobacter jejuni. Its description in RNAcentral is "partial 23S ribosomal RNA". It matches the Rfam family "Bacterial large subunit ribosomal RNA", at positions 1410 to 2925 of the family's 2925-position model. The record is from RNAcentral. Lineage: Bacteria; Pseudomonadati; Campylobacterota; Epsilonproteobacteria; Campylobacterales; Campylobacteraceae.
GGUAGACGAUGGCAAAUUGGUUAAUAUUCCAAUACCAACAUUAGUGUGCGAUGGAAGGACGCUUAGGGCUAAGGGGGCUAGCGGAUGGAAGUGCUAGUCUAAGGUUGUAGGAGGUUAUACAGGCAAAUCCGUAUAACAAUACUCCGAGAACUGAAAGGCUUUUUGAAGUCUUCGGAUGGAUAGAAGAACCCCUGAUGCCGUCGAGCCAAGAAAAGUUUCUAAGUUUAGCUAAUGUUGCCCGUACCGUAAACCGACACAGGUGGGUGGGAUGAGUAUUCUAAGGCGCGUGGAAGAACUCUCUUUAAGGAACUCUGCAAAAUAGCACCGUAUCUUCGGUAUAAGGUGUGGUUAGCUUCGUACUAGGAUUUACUCCGAAAGCGAAGAAACUUACAACAAAGAGUCCCUCCCGACUGUUUACCAAAAACACAGCACUCUGCUAACUCGUAAGAGGAUGUAUAGGGUGUGACGCCUGCCCGGUGCUCGAAGGUUAAUUGAUGGGGUUAGCAUUAGCGAAGCUCUUGAUCGAAGCCCGAGUAAACGGCGGCCGUAACUAUAACGGUCCUAAGGUAGCGAAAUUCCUUGUCGGUUAAAUACCGACCUGCAUGAAUGGCGUAACGAGAUGGGAGCUGUCUCAAAGAGGGAUCCAGUGAAAUUGUAGUGGAGGUGAAAAUUCCUCCUACCCGCGGCAAGACGGAAAGACCCCGUGGACCUUUACUACAGCUUGACACUGCUACUUGGAUAAGAAUGUGCAGGAUAGGUGGGAGGCUUUGAGUAUAUGACGCCAGUUGUAUAUGAGCCAUUGUUGAGAUACCACUCUUUCUUAUUUGGGUAGCUAACCAGCUUGAGUUAUCCUCAAGUGGGACAAUGUCUGGUGGGUAGUUUGACUGGGGCGGUCGCCUCCCAAAUAAUAACGGAGGCUUACAAAGGUUGGCUCAGAACGGUUGGAAAUCGUUCGUAGAGUAUAAAGGUAUAAGCCAGCUUAACUGCAAGACAUACAAGUCAAGCAGAGACGAAAGUCGGUCUUAGUGAUCCGGUGGUUCUGUGUGGAAGGGCCAUCGCUCAAAGGAUAAAAGGUACCCCGGGGAUAACAGGCUGAUCUCCCCCAAGAGCUCACAUCGACGGGGAGGUUUGGCACCUCGAUGUCGGCUCAUCGCAUCCUGGGGCUGGAGCAGGUCCCAAGGGUAUGGCUGUUCGCCAUUUAAAGCGGUACGCGAGCUGGGUUCAGAACGUCGUGAGACAGUUCGGUCCCUAUCUGCCGUGGGCGUAAGAAGAUUGAAGAGAUUUGACCCUAGUACGAGAGGACCGGGUUGAACAAACCACUGGUGUAGCUGUUGUUCUGCCAAGAGCAUCGCAGCGUAGCUAAGUUUGGAAAGGAUAAACGCUGAAAGCAUCUAAGCGUGAAGCCAACUCUAAGAUGAAUCUUCUCUAAGCUCUCUAGAAGACUACUAGUUUGAUAGGCUGGGUGUGUAAUGGAUGAAAGUCCUUUAGCUGACCAGUACUAAUAGAGCAUUUGGCUUAUCUUUAAUAAAGCAU